GUGUUUGCUGUGACAGCACAUGUACUCAAAUUGGAAUAAUAUAUAGAAGAUUAGCAUGGCACCUGUGCAAAGAUGACAUGCAAAUUCUUGAGACAUUCCAUAUUUUU
Molecule: small nuclear RNA, 107 nt
Organism: Ictidomys tridecemlineatus (thirteen-lined ground squirrel)
Lineage: Eukaryota; Metazoa; Chordata; Mammalia; Rodentia; Sciuridae
Source: Ensembl